Long non-coding RNA from Tetranychus urticae (two-spotted spider mite), 1935 nucleotides. RefSeq lists it as uncharacterized. The record is from RefSeq and is a predicted model, not a curated record. Lineage: Eukaryota; Metazoa; Arthropoda; Arachnida; Trombidiformes; Tetranychidae.
ACAACUUUGUUCAGAGAUAUUUUGAGAAAGUUGUAUAAUGAAUUUAAAAAUUCAAAUCCAUUUGAGCAGGUCCUCAAUUUUAACUUCAAAAUUGGGUAACGUUAAUUUACCUGAUUGUGGUGAUUAUGAUGAUAAAGAUGUUAAUAAAUAUGAUGCAUUUUUCAUCAUUGUCCAUUUUUACCUUUAUCUUCAUCUCAUCAAUAUAUUUGUUGUCAUAGCCAGCGCAAUAAGAUAAGUAAAUGUUACUCUUUUGCACUCUUAAACAAUACACCCUUUAAUAUGCAUAGUUUGCUCUAAAGAAAGUAAUAAAGAGAUUAAUUAGAACUGAUAAAAAAGUCGAAAUUAAGAUGAAAAUGAUAAGAAAUAAUGAACUUAGUAAACCAAUUGAAAGCAAUGAAAAAUCAAGACAAAAUUUUGUCUUGAAAAUUAAAAAAAGUUGUACUCAGGUAGGUUUAACUAUCACUAUAUCAAGCCCGAAGAGCAGCGAAUAAGAUCAUGCAUGGGAAUACCAAAAGGAAAUAUUUAUUUUCAUAGAAAUCUUCUCUUUUGAAGUCUAGUAACAUUAAAUAUUUGAAUUUAAAAGAAGCUCAAUUUACUAGAAACUGUCGAAUUAAUUACCAAGCAACUUUCCUUCUACCAUGUAAGAUGCCACUAAACCAUGAGUAAAAUUAACGGAAUAUUUGAAAUGCUGAAAUCUGACAUUUCUCUCGUAUGAAUCUUGAAAUCCUUAUGGAGCUUCUUUGACUAGAGGUUAAUAAGGAUGAACUCAUUCAAUUGUUAUCCACUUUAUUUCAACCCAUUUGGUUUGCUUGUUUCUUGGUUAGCAAAAUGUUGUUCAAACCUUAGUUACCAUAACUGCCAUUGGAAGUAUCAUUGGGAUUUUGAAUUUAACAAGUUUCACCAAUCCUGAUUUUAGUUUCAUGUUUAAAUUGAUCAACAUCUUGAAAUGAAACUGAUUCUGAUUAGAACAUAAUCCAAGCUUCGACAAUUAAGCCUUUUUGUUUCUCGAACUAAUCACCUUUACAAUUCAAAAUUUCAAUAGAUGUUAUAUGCAUGAGACGAAGAGAGUUUUGCCAAACAAAUCUUAAUUCAAUUUAAAUAAUUCCUGCUGAAAAGAUUUUGAAUUGCAAAGUUAUUGUAAAACACAUCUACAGAAACAUCUGUGAUCAAUUUGUUAUCACUGCUAGAUCUUUUAGAUUGAAUAGCUGCUAAUCAAGUUCAGCGACAUUCAUCAACAAUCUUUAAAUAUCCAAUUACUCUUGAAUAAAUGUUGAAAUGAAAAAUGAAAUUAUACUCAGCCAGUUGUCAAGAUUAUGAAUAGUUUAAACUUGACUAUAAAUCAGCUUCAGAAUGAAACUCAUAAUCUUUACAUGUUUAUUUGCAGCUGUAUGGACAAAUGAAAGCGGUCAAAUAUCAGAGACAACUUUGAUAGAGUCUGAAGAUGACUUCAGACAAGCUCCUGCUAAGAAUCUUUUUGGUCCAUGGGUGACGGUUCCAGUUGAUGAUCCGAUUAUUCAAAAGUACACCGAGCAAGCUCUUGAAAGACAAAAUAAAGAGUUCGGUGAUCGGUACAAAAGAUUGGUGUCAAUUAAUCAGGCUAAGAGACAGACCCUUUCUGGAUACAGAUUUGAAAUCGAAAUGAUCAUUCGCGAAACUGAUUGCAACAAAAAUGACCCCAAAAAGCAUCAAUGCCAAUUCAAUAGCGCUCGAGCACCUGAGCCAGUUGUCUUUGAUGUAUGGGUAAAAGGAGACUAAUAGUUACAAACUUAAAGCGCUAAAGAUGAACCUAAAAAUUGACUUAAGUUUGGCCCGUUUUUGUUCACUUAACCAUUACUGUGAUUCAUUGUACCUUUAUGAGGAGUAUUUGCAUCUAACGUGUGUAUUAUUUGCUGAAAAAUGAAUAUUGUUCAAUAAAAAAAGAUAAUUUGUUUUUCA